Molecule: ribosomal RNA, 242 nt
Filed under: uncultured bacterium
Lineage: Bacteria
Description: partial 16S ribosomal RNA
Rfam family: Bacterial small subunit ribosomal RNA
Source: RNAcentral
CAAGCGUUGUUCGGAUUCACUGGGCGUAAAGGGUGCGUAGGGGGUGAGGUAAGUCGGAUGUGAAAUCUCCGGGCUCAACCCGGAAAUGGCAUUGGAAACUACCUUGCUGGAGGAUUUGAGGGGGGAUUGGAAUACUUGGUGUAGCAGUGAAAUGCGUAGAUAUCAAGUGGAACACCAGUGGCGAAGGCGAAUCCCUGGAAAAUACCUGACACUGAGGCACGAAAGCUAGGGGAGCAAACAGG